Octopus sinensis (East Asian common octopus) is the source of this 267-nucleotide long non-coding RNA. RefSeq lists it as uncharacterized. NCBI's taxonomy places the organism in Eukaryota, Metazoa, Mollusca, Cephalopoda, Octopoda, Octopodidae. The transcript is spliced from 3 exons. The record is from RefSeq and is a predicted model, not a curated record.
AUAACAAGAUACUGCAAGGAAUUUUGGUCAACUGUUCUACAGAGUCUAUCAUGAUAAUAAAAUUAAUAUUUGAAAGAAAUGUGAAAAGAAUGUCAUCAUGAAAGCUAGUGUGUGUUUGUGUGUGUGGUGUCUAAGACUGAAACAAGUAAAACAUAGAAAAUUAAAGAUAAUCUUCCCUAAUCGAUAAAAUAAAAUUUUGUUUUUGUUCUGUUUUUAUAUUCAGUUUGGUUAACUUUAUAUUAUUGUCUUUUGUAACUGAACAGUAAA